CGCGAAUCGCCCUUCGGGGUGCCCAGGCGCGAAAACUUUACAAUGCGGGCAACCGUGAUAAGGAAACCCCGAGUGCCAGCACAGGCUGGCUGUCCACCAGUAUAAAAAGCUGGUGAAGAAAGGGCCGGGCAAGACCGGUGCCAGCCGCCGCGGUAAUACCGGCGGCUCGAGUGGUGGCCGCUUUUACUGGGCUUAAAGGGUCCGUAGCUGGAUUCACAAGUCCCUUGAGAAAUCUAUCGGCUUAACUGAUAGGCGUUCAGGGGAUACUGUGGUUCUAGGGACCGGGAGAGGUGAGAGGUACUGCCGGGGUAGGAGUGAAAUCCUGUAAUCCCGGUGGGACGACCUAUGGCGAAGGCAUCUCACCAGAACGGCUCCGACAGUGAGGGACGAAAGCUGGGGGAGCAAACCGGAUUAGAUACCCGGGUAGUCCCAGCUGUAAACGAUGCGCGUUAGGUGUGUCAGUGACCACGUGUCACUGAGGUGCCGAAGGGAAACCGUGAAACGCGCCGCCUGGGGAGUACGGUCGCAAGGCUGAAACUUAAAGGAAUUGGCGGGGGAGCAC
RNAcentral lists this ribosomal RNA (562 nucleotides) under uncultured archaeon. RNAcentral's name for it is "bacterial SSU rRNA". It matches the Rfam family "Archaeal small subunit ribosomal RNA", at positions 312 to 879 of the family's 1478-position model. The record is from RNAcentral.